UCCGGUUUAACACCGGCAGUCCCUCUAGAGUGCCCAACUGAAUGAUGGCAACUAAAGUCGAGGGUUGCGCUCGUUGCGGGACUUAACCCAACAUCUCACGACACGAGCUGACGACAGCCAUGCAGCACCUGUGUUCCGAUUCUCUUUCGAGCACUCCCCAAUCUCUCGGGGAUCUCGGACAUGUCAAGCGUAGGUAAGGUUUUUCGCGUUGCAUCGAAUUAAUCCACAUCGUCCACCGCUUGUGCGGGCCCCCGUCAAUUCCUUUGAGUUUCAGCCUUGCGGCCGUACUCCCCAGGCGGGGUACUUACUGCGUUAGCGACGGCACCGAAGGGGUCGCUCCCCCCGACGCCUAGUACCCAUCGUUUACGGCGUGGACUAC
Molecule: unclassified non-coding RNA, 379 nt
Filed under: uncultured bacterium
Lineage: Bacteria
Description: contains 16S-23S intergenic spacer region
Source: RNAcentral